This 466-nucleotide ribosomal RNA is filed under the name uncultured organism. RNAcentral's name for it is "partial 16S ribosomal RNA". It matches the Rfam family "Bacterial small subunit ribosomal RNA", at positions 333 to 796 of the family's 1533-position model. The record is from RNAcentral.
ACACUCCUGCGGGAGGCAGCAGUGAGGAAUAUUGGACAAUGGGUGGAAGCCUGAUCCAGCCAUCCCGCGUGCAGGAAGACGGCCCUAUGGGUUGUAAACUGCUUUUAUCUGGGGAUAAACCUACUUACGUGUAAGUAGCUGAAGGUACCAGAAGAAUAAGCACCGGCUAACUCCGUGCCAGCAGCCGCGGUAAUACGGAGGGUGCAAGCGUUAUUCGGAUUUAUUGGGUUUAAAGGGUCCGUAGGCGGACUGAUAAGUCAGUGGUGAAAUCCGACAGCUUAACUGUCGAACUGCCAUUGAUACUGUUAGUCUUGAGUAAGGUUGAAGUGGCUGGAAUAAGUAGUGUAGCGGUGAAAUGCAUAGAUAUUACUUAGAACACCAAUUGCGAAGGCAGGUCACUAAGUCUUAACUGACGCUGAUGGACGAAAGCGUGGGGAGCGAACAGGAUUAGAAACCCUAGUAGUCC